CCUACGGGAGGCAGCAGUGAGGAAUAUUGGUCAAUGGACGAGAGUCUGAACCAGCCAAGUAGCGUGAAGGAUGACUGCCCUAUGGGUUGUAAACUUCUUUUAUAUGGGAAUAAAAUGUUCCACGUGUGGGUUUUUGUAUGUACCAUAUGAAUAAGGAUCGGCUAACUCCGUGCCAGCAGCCGCGGUAAUACGGAGGAUCCGAGCGUUAUCCGGAUUUAUUGGGUUUAAAGGGAGCGUAGGUGGAUUGUUAAGUCAGUUGUGAAAGUUUGCGGCUCAACCGUAGAAUUGCAGUUGAAACUGGCAGUCUUGAGUACAGUAGAGGUGGGCGGAAUUCGUGGUGUAGCGGUGAAAUGCUUAGAUAUCACGAAGAACUCCGAUUGCGAAGGCAGCUCACUGGACUGCAACUGACACUGAGGCUCGAAAGUGUGGGUAUCAAACAGGAUUAGAUACCCCUGUAGUC
RNAcentral lists this ribosomal RNA (460 nucleotides) under uncultured bacterium. RNAcentral describes it as "partial 16S ribosomal RNA". It matches the Rfam family "Bacterial small subunit ribosomal RNA", at positions 338 to 795 of the family's 1533-position model. The record is from RNAcentral.